RNAcentral lists this long non-coding RNA (462 nucleotides) under Athene cunicularia (burrowing owl). RNAcentral's name for it is "lncRNA (ENSACUG00000009715.1)". The record is from RNAcentral. Lineage: Eukaryota; Metazoa; Chordata; Aves; Strigiformes; Strigidae.
GGGGUUUCGGCUUGUGGUGGCGCUGAGGCGGCGGGACCCCCACCAGAAAGCGCCCGUGGGGAAAGGAAGUUAUUUUAGAAGGAAGGAAUACAUGUAAGAAACAAGAUGUCUCAUGCCGGGAGACGAUACCAAGAUAAGCCAUACAGGCACCAUCAAAACCAUGGAUCUGAUAGAUACGAGGAAGACAGAAGAACAAGAAAACCAUACCUGUACAAUGCAAGGUCAACAGAAGACAUCCAGGGUAGCCAGCACUCAAGGACUUCUACUGUUCGCUCAGACCUUUACUCUAAAACCUCAGUAGCAGCGCAGGAAUAUUUUGGCCCACCACCAGAGUGUUAUCCUCCCAAGGAAACCUUGUCAAUGAAGUGUUCAAAGGGACAUCAUGGAUCUGCAGAUUACAGAUUCAAAAGGCAACAGAAACACUGAAGUCUGACACCUUCUGUUCCUGUAGUAGUGAAGGAG